Molecule: long non-coding RNA, 3551 nt
Organism: Entelurus aequoreus (snake pipefish)
Lineage: Eukaryota; Metazoa; Chordata; Actinopteri; Syngnathiformes; Syngnathidae
Exons: 3
Source: RefSeq, a predicted model, not a curated record
AUAUGUUCGAAGAACGUUCUUAGAACGUUCUCAUCUUGCAUAACCAAAAGAGAACCAUAAGGGAACGUUACGUUAACGUUAGGUGUUACCUGGGGAUUUGUAUUGAACCAAACUGAUAGAAAAUUGUGGUCAAGCACCUCUCUGCCGCCUGCUGUCCAGGAGCAGAGCUACUCUGCUUCCUGGGUGCUCUUCACGGUCGACCUGACGCACGUCCUUUCUUCUUAGCCUUCUGUGUGUGCCUUCCUGCACCUUCACCCGUCGUCAGAACAGAGUUCAGAACCUGGCCAAACUCGUUGCCGAUGUUUGUGAUCCAUGCAGCACUGUCCCCGAUCCCACCAGCCAGCUUCUUGGUGAUCUGUAAAACAAACACUACAAACUGAAGUCAUUGCCCCACUAAGAAAUGGCUGAGGAUGUUGUUGGAGUGGACCGUCUCGAACCACUGGGCAAGUGGAAGGGGUCUGAAGGGUGGUGGAGGAAGAUGGACAGCUGCAGAGGGGACGAAGACUGGAGGUAGGAGGAACUGUUACCGGGGACGGCGUGGCGCAGUUGGGAGAGUGGCCGUGCCAGCAACCUGAGGGUUCCUGGUUCAAUCCCCACCUUCUACCAACUUCGUCACGUUCGUUGUGUCCUUGAGCAAGACACUUCACCCUUGCUCCUGAUGGGUCAUGGUUAGGGCCUUGCAUGGCAGCUCCCUCCAUCAGUGUGUGAAUGUGUGUGUGAAUGGGUGAAUGUGGAAAUAGUGUCAAAGUGCUUUGAGUACCUUGAAGGUAGAAAAGCGCUAUACAAGUAUAAUCAAUUUACCACUGGUCCCCGGCUUCAGGAAAGACAUACAUUUUCUGUCCAGAGCCAGCUGUGUUGUGAGGACAGCGGGGAACAGGCUCCUGUGUGCCACAUCCAGCUGGGAGAAAAUAUCCUGGCUCCAUGUGCAGACCACCUGAGAGCACUUGCUGCAACGUGGAUAGUCCCAUCCUACUAGAUAAUAGCGGCUAUCCACAUCGAUCACCUCCCUGACCUUCCUGUAGAUGCCGGAGCUGUUCAUUUUACGGGAACACUGCAGGCAUUUAAGAGGAAUCCCCCACAUCCGCAUUGGUGCCCAGAGGAACAUCCUCUGCUGGUAGUACCACCCAGGCUGAGGAGGAGAUGGUUUGGCUUCCAAUGGGGGGUGAAACCAGCAUGCUUUGCUUUUUUGUUUAAGCUGGCCCGUAGGCUCAUAGAGGCACUUAGCAAUCCACACCUAAUCGGCUUCCUGGAUUACUUUGCGAAAUUGUUCAGGAAGAAAACCUUGCCAAUUAAUUGAAGACGAUUUAAGUGGAGUUUCAGUGUGCUGUGGUGUGGCAGAGCUGGCUGAAGAAGGGAGCAGAGAUGGUGUUGGCUUUGGUGGUGGUAGUGUUGGCCUUUGCGGUAAUGGUGUUGGUUUCCGCGGUAAUGGCUCCAUGAAUUCUGAAUAGUGAACCAGUUGGAGGUGGUUCAAAAAACCAACAGUACCCUGCACCUUUGCACUACAGGUGUCACACAUCUCCUCUGUAUGGUGGUCAGAGAGGUGCUCAGAGAAAUGUUUUCCCUCUACAAGCUUGUUGCACUGGUAGCACUGCACUCCCUGUCCUGCCACUGAUGCUCCUGACUCGGUGUCUCCUCUCGUCUCUGUGACUCCUCUCCCUGACUCUGGGUUGUUUCGGACUUCCCCUGCCUCCUUGUCUCCACUCCUUGUCUCUGUGUCUCCUCUCCCUACCUCGGACUUGCCCUGCCUCUGUCUCAACUUCUCCUGCCUUACUGGAGCCAGCGGGUGAUGACAGAUCUGCUGGCUGGCUAGCAAAUAAUUAGUAAGUAAUUAGUAAAUAAUAUAUAAGUUAGGCGAUACCUUAUGGAACCCACAGGAGCACAGAAGGUUUCUCCCAAAUAGAUCCUUCGUGUGGCUCUGCAAGGGACAAGCAUCUAUAUUCCCCAGGGCCUUUUUCCACUUCUUGGCCCCUGGACGUUUGCCAGUUGAGAAGUGGUAUUGGCCUCAGGCAUAUUUUAUACAGAUGUGCCUCCAGUAAGUGUCUGGUUUCCCUGUCUUAGUCAUCUACAAACAUUAAAUAUAAAGUAGGUUAAAGUAUGCAUGUAUGAAGGCAUGUUUUGCAUUAUUGUUGUGAAGCACUUUGUAAAUGUAUGUUUUAAAAGGUGCUAUGUAAAUAAAGUAAUAAUAAUAAUUAUUAUUACUAUCAUUAGUAGUAGUAAUAUGGCACAGACAGAUGUAAAAAUAAUAUUCCGCUGAUGAAAAAUUAAACUUGGCACAAUUAUCCAUCCAUCCAUCCAUUUUCUACCGCUAAUUCCCUUCGGGGUCGCGGGGGGCGCUGGAGCCUAUCUCAGCUACAAUCGGGCGGAAGGCGGGGUACACCCUGGACAAGUCGCCAUCUCAUCACAGGGCCAACACAGAUAGACAGACAACAUUCACACUCACAUUCACACACUAGGGCCAAUUUAGUGUUGCCAAUCAACCUAUCCCCAGGUGCAUGUCUUUGGAAGUGGGAGGAAGCCGGAGUACCCGGGAACCCACGCAGUCACGGGGAGGACAUGCAAACUCCACACAGAAAGAUCCCGAGCCCGGGAUUGAACCCAAGGCUACUCAGACCUUUGUAUUGUGAGGCAGACGCACUAACCCCUGUGCCACCGUGAUGCCUUGGCACAAUUAAGCAUGUUUAAAACACCUGGACACAUCUGUCUGCUCUGCUCAAACACAUAACCAAUUUCCAUUACAGGAGCAGGAGAAAACACCAGACCGCCGAUAAAUUACUAUUCCACUGACGGACAAUGAAACUUGGGACAAUUAUUUCACAUCUUAUGGUUUUUCCCGAGAAAUCGGCAGAGUUUGUACGGCAAAUUAACAAAUACAUAGGUUACUAUUGGUCUUCUGAUUCUGCUAUAUCACCAAUAUCCCCACCAUCGCCACACUGCUAGACUAUGUACAUCAACGCCAUUACAUGCAGAAGGUCCAUUAGCAAAACGACGACGUUACAUGAAAGUUGAAAUACAAGUUGUAUUAUGUGCUAAUGGGAUGGGAAAUCAUAUCGUGUAGUGUUUUGUCACACUGUUGAGCAUUCGGCUUAUAGAUGGCGUUGCAUUAAUGAGUAUCAAAUCAAAUUUACCAACCUUUUCUGUGUUCUUGUGUUCGCUGUUAUGCGGUGAAAAACAUAAAAGCGAUAAGCCCGCCCCCUCCUACGUCACGUGUCAUUGUUGGGACUUGUUCGGAACUAUGUUCGGACCUUCUUUGAAACUCUUUGAUCUCAUUAGGAACUGUUCAGAUCUGUUCGGACCUUCUUUGAAACUCUUUGAUCUCGUUAGGAACUGUUCAGAUCUGUUCGGACCUUGUUUGAAACUCUUUGAUCUCUCUUUGGAUCUGUUACAAUGUGUUAGGAUGUGUUAGGACUUCAGAGGCAUGAAUAAAAGUUUUUAUUUAACAUGUGUCGCUCCUUUUACAAUUUUGUUUACUUCCAUUGAUUGUGACGAUGCUGACUUUAUUCUUCUGAUUGGUCAAAUGUUUUAACAAGCUCUGUCCUGAUUGGUCGCUUUAC